Molecule: ribosomal RNA, 255 nt
Filed under: Cobetia sp.
Lineage: Bacteria; Pseudomonadati; Pseudomonadota; Gammaproteobacteria; Oceanospirillales; Halomonadaceae
Description: partial 16S ribosomal RNA
Rfam family: Bacterial small subunit ribosomal RNA
Source: RNAcentral
GCAGUCGAGCGGAACGAUCCUAGCUUGCUAGGAGGCGUCGAGCGGCGGACGGGUGAGUAAUGCAUGGGAAUCUGCCCGAUAGUGGGGGACAACCUGGGGAAACUCAGGCUAAUACCGCAUACGUCCUACGGGAGAAAGCAGGGGAUCUUCGGACCUUGCGCUAUCGGAUGAGCCCAUGUCGGAUUAGCUUGUUGGUGAGGUAAAGGCUCACCAAGGCGACGAUCCGUAGCUGGUCUGAGAGGAUGAUCAGCCACA